CCGGACCUCUAAUCGGAAAAGACCACCCGCUGAGUUUAAGCAUAUCA
Molecule: ribosomal RNA, 47 nt
Filed under: Pohlia cruda
Lineage: Eukaryota; Viridiplantae; Streptophyta; Bryopsida; Bryales; Mniaceae
Description: partial 28S ribosomal RNA
Source: RNAcentral